GACGAACGCUGGCGGCGUGCUUAACACAUGCAAGUCGAACGGAAAGGCCUGCUUUCCCUUGUGGAUUGCGGGUACUCGAGUGGCGAACGGGUGAGUAACACGUGAGUGAUCUGCCCCCAACUUGGGUAUAAGCCUGGGAAACUGGGUCUAAUUCCCGAUAGGACUGCAGGGUGGUGCCUGUGGUGGAAAACGAUUUUCUAGUGGUUGGGGAUGAGCUCGCGGCCUAUCAGCUUGUUGGUGGGGUAAUGGCCCACCAAGGCGGCGACGGGUAGCCGGCCUGAGAGGGUGGACGGCCACAUUGAGACGGAGUUACGGCCCGGACUCCUACGGAAGGCAGCAGUGGGGAAUAUUACACGAUGGGCGGAAGCCUAAUGCGGCGACGCCGCGUGGGGGAUGACGGCCUUCGGGUUGUAAACUCCUUUCGACCGCGAGGAAGCCACCUGGUUGGAAGGGUGGUGACGGUAGUGGUAGAAGAAGCACCGGCUAACUACGUG
Molecule: ribosomal RNA, 494 nt
Filed under: uncultured bacterium
Lineage: Bacteria
Description: partial 16S ribosomal RNA
Rfam family: Bacterial small subunit ribosomal RNA
Source: RNAcentral